Molecule: long non-coding RNA, 429 nt
Organism: Cornus florida
Lineage: Eukaryota; Viridiplantae; Streptophyta; Magnoliopsida; Cornales; Cornaceae
Exons: 3
Source: RefSeq, a predicted model, not a curated record
AAAGUUGCAUCAACUUUGACUCUGUCAUUAAGAACUUCAAUUAUUGAUGAAGGUAGCAUUCAAAUGGAGCCAUUCAUUAAAUUUUAGAACUUCAAUUAUUGAUGCACGUUAGAGUGAGGCUGCAAUUAUUUGGUUAAAGAACUUCCAAGUAUUGAUGCAGGUAUACUUCAACUACUGGACAUUUGUGAUGGUGUGUGUUCAACUCUGGGCCUUAUUGAGGUCACGGGAAGGAGGUGGCGGAUGACAAUCCACUACAAAUUUGAAAGGGAUUAGAAGUUCAUUUCUUUUGCAAUCUUUUGUAUAUUAAGCCUUUCUUUUGUAAAAGCAUCAUUUGAAUAUCAAGUUGAAAAACAUGGCUUUGUAAUAUAACUUUAAACUCAUGAUAAUAUUUUUGAUGUAAAUUGGGAUAAAUGUAAAGACUAUGCAUUA